RNAcentral lists this ribosomal RNA (329 nucleotides) under Fragilariaceae sp. ID-F5. RNAcentral's name for it is "SSU rRNA". It matches the Rfam family "Eukaryotic small subunit ribosomal RNA", at positions 626 to 958 of the family's 1831-position model. Lineage: Eukaryota; Bacillariophyta; Fragilariophyceae; Fragilariales; Fragilariaceae. The record is from RNAcentral.
GCUCGUAGUUGGAUUUGUGGUUGGGUCUGUCGGUCCGGCACAUUGUGCGGGUACUUGAUGGACUCGUCCAUCCUUGGGUGGAAUCUGUGUGGCAUUAAGUUGUCGUGCAGGGGAUGCCCAUCGUUUACUGUGAAAAAAUUAGAGUGUUCAAAGCAGGCUUAUGCCGUUGAAUAUAUUAGCAUGGAAUAAUGAGAUAGGACCUUGGUACUAUUUUGUUGGUUUGCGCACCGAGGUAAUGAUUAAUAGGGACAGUUGGGGGUAUUCGUAUUCCAUUGUCAGAGGUGAAAUUCUUGGAUUUUUGGAAGACGAACUACUGCGAAAGCAUUUAC